UGAUAUUAACCUAUAAAUCCAUAAAACAACAAAUCAAAUUGCUUGACAUGCCCUCACCCUGUGAAUGCUCCAAAAUGUUAACUUAAACCUGGAAGAUCAGAUUAAUGAUGACUGAUGACUGUCAAGAUAAUACAAGGUAGAUUUUAAGAUGUUACAGUAUAGCCUUGAAUGGUUCCGUGCUAGUAGUUCCGUUUUCUAAUUACAGUGAACCCCAGGAACAGAAAUAAGCAAUGUACAUAAAUUUUCAGUUUUGUAAAUGUACCUCCUGUGAUGGUGUGGAUUUCUCGUGCUUGGUGUGGCCUGCUUCAUGCUCAUUUGCGCCCCGUGCCUAGCAUAUUGCACUCUGCAGCUCUCCGCCUGCUCCGCGCUACUGUGGCCGGCAUGGCCAACUCUAUGCCCAUCGAAGCCGUCGGCCGUCGGCAUGCACUCGCUUCUUCACUUCCGCGACUGCC
Molecule: long non-coding RNA, 452 nt
Filed under: Setaria italica (foxtail millet)
Lineage: Eukaryota; Viridiplantae; Streptophyta; Magnoliopsida; Poales; Poaceae
Description: long non-coding RNA (SITA_LNC004535)
Source: RNAcentral